RNAcentral lists this long non-coding RNA (20026 nucleotides) under Octopus vulgaris (common octopus). The record is from RNAcentral. Lineage: Eukaryota; Metazoa; Mollusca; Cephalopoda; Octopoda; Octopodidae.
GUAUCUAAUGAAAGGGCGUAAUCACGUGGUCUCGUUGCAAACUUCCGGUGAAAUCGAAUGGUGAAUGUAAGUGCGGCACGGCGAGGUGGAGGAGAUUCGGACCAUUCCGAGAGAAUAUUAGGUCAAGAAAAACAUUCUCAUUUUUGUAAAUAAGGAAAGCUAGGUAAGUUCAUCUGUUAGUUAUGGCCUUUCUUUAAAGAUUCCGUACAAAUUUCUGUUCGCUGUUAUUACAUGGUGGCUGCUGUUUUGGACUGGAGUUGUCUUUAUAAGUAUUGUGGAGGUCGACUACUGUCCAAGGUGCGCUCAGUCUGACUUUGAAAUUAAAUGUCUACAGCCUAAGUUCCCGCGAAAACAUUAUUAGGCCGACUUUGGUUAUCUCACUGUUUUUUCGUUCGUUUAUUAUUUCCCGUCUUCUUAAAACAUUUUUAAAAUGGCUUUUGUAUUAAACAGAACGUGUAUCUAAUUACAUUGUUUUACAUGAAACAACCCUGUUGUGAACUUUUUAUCUCGGUCGGUUUAUUUUAAGUUAGAACGACUGAUAAAUAUCUCCCUAUCCCAAAUAUAUAUAUGGUCGAUGUCGUCUUCGUUAUAUUUAUUCGUUCCACUUCUCAUACACACACACGUACAAUCAUUCGCAGCUUUUUGCCCCCUCCUUAUAAACAAGCCGUCUGUAUUUUUGUGUGUCACUGUGUCCUCCCGACUCUUCGAGACUGCCAUGUCGGUGUCGUUGAAGCUGUCUUUGAUUUUUAAGCAAUUUCUUUCUCUCAUUCCCUCUACAUUCUUUUCUUUUUUUUUUCUACGAAAACACAGCAUUUAUUGUCAUAAAAUAAAUUUUUCUAGCUAGUCUAAUAAUUAAAUCGAAAUGUGGAGAGAAAAAUAUUGUUUAGAAUUUCGUCGAAUUGUUGUUUAUGACCUGAUUGUUGUACAAUAACAAAUUCGCACAAAAUCACUAGCGCAUCUAUAUAUAUAUAUGUGUAUAUAUACGCACACAAACCCGUCCUUGUUCGUCUUAUUUAUUCAUUUUAUUAGUAAACACGUUCCUAUUUGCGAUGAGUAGAUUGUUCCAAAUGCAUUUAAUCGUACCUUGAAAAUAAGCUGUAAUCGCAGAGCAAGGGUUGUGGUGUGUGCCUUACUGAUGUAGUUCAAUGAUGGUGUGGGGGGUUAAUUUAUCUGCUGAUUUCGGCAUCAGUCUUGGCCUUUCCUAUUCUGCCGAUCAUAUGUAUGCACGUGGCAGUUGAUGUAGUGGGGAGCAGGAGUAAAACCUCCCUCUACUCUCGGACAGAACAAAAAGCUGUUAUAAAAAAGCUAAAUGACACAUUUUAUUUUUCCUUUUCACGUUUUUCCUGUCUCUGUCUAUCUCGUGUUUAUGUAACUGAAUUGUUUGUUUAUACUCAAGGAAAAAAAAUCACCCUUCGAUUUAUUUCUCUUACAACAUUGGUUGUAAUCAGUCGAGUGACUACAAAAUUCUAGUGACAUAAUAUUGUCCGAUGACGAAACCAUUUAUCCCUUCUUUAAAAAAAUAACAUCGUACGUGUAAUGUUUGCUUGAAGGGGGAGACGUUUUGGAUCGUGUUUUGCUAAGGUCUCAUAUCAGAACUAUUCACAACAACAACCGUCGUUCUUUUCGUUUUGUUUUGUUGUUCUCACAAAAUUAAAUCUCGUGUUUAUUAUUCAAGGUCUAAAUAAAUCGUUAAAAUGUUGGAGCAGGCUAUAAAAUUAUUGAAUAUUGUAAAUCGAAGAAAAAUUCAAAGAAUAACAAAAACAAAGAUUGAAACUUGCUAUCCGAAUUAUUUUCAUCUUCAGCUAAUUUUCUAACGUAGUACACGAUAGUAAAUAUAAUAACGGUAAUCAUAACAAUACUUUAUGUACCUAAUAGUCCCGAACUUCUUUAUUUUAUUUUCCUCAUUUGGUAUCUGGCUUAUUUAUUGUUGAACAUGUGAAAAACAUUUGUGACGUUAAACACUUUAUAAAUAUAAAUAAUAUGACACGAUACCGCUUCGUCACAUCAUUUUAUUUUAGGUACACACACAAUUUUAUAUACUUAUAUAUAACUAUAUACACAAAUAAAUACUUUUUGCAAAGUGGUCGAUACACGCUUUUAGUGAAAAGUAAAUAUGCGCUAUGGCCUUAGUGGUUCACAUCGUUAUUUAGACAGAUAUAUAUAUAUAUAUAUACACACGCACUGUUAUACGCACAUCCGUGUUGACAUUAAGAUAAAAAUAAAUUAUAUGAGGAUCAGACCUCUUGACUUUUGGAGGUCCUACCAGACUAACCUGAAGUGCAGGCGAUGUUCUGUCUAAACCUUUGUAAAUUGACGCCUUUAGAGGAAUUUGGACGGUAUUUGUGGUUCCGAGGUAGGAUAAUUGGGAUUAUACUAAAAAUUUCACUGGUUAGAGCGAGGCAGUGGGAAUCGUGACAGAUAAGUGCCGCGAGUAAGCCUGUGAAAUAUAGGUACAAGCUGGUUCAGGACAAAAACGACUGCUUGUAGUCACGGCAGAAGAUACAUAAAAGAAGAAACUGACUAUAGAGUAUUAGACUCUAUUACGGAUUAUACAUAAGUUUUAUAAAUGGACAGCACUGGACCGGGAUGAAAUUUUUAUUCUAAUUUUUAAAAGGAACCUCAGCAUUUGAGAUGCAGUUUUUGCAAUAUUUGUAGUUACGAGAGAUUUGCAGAAAUUGUAAGGCCUAGUAAUUGUAUUAACUUUAAGGACUUUAGCUGAGUGCUGUAAUGCAUGGGAUGGGUGUUGUGUAGACCCUGAUGUACCCGAGUUGAUAGAUGUGGUUCGGGGUGAGUUCUGUCAGAUCUGAUUGGGAAUUUCCAAUCUUAUUGAAAGGGAAGCUGGUGUUGAUACUCCCGAUAUAACCGAUGGCCUUGCUGUUGUUAAGGGCAGUAAUUUUGCUACUGUUGAAGUUUAGAACGUUCAGGUUCCAUUGUUGUGUGAUUAUCAUCGUGUUAACGUCCAUGUUUUCCAUGGGUUGGACGGAGCUUAUUAAGGCAGAUUUUCUAUGGCCGGAUGCCCAUACUUGUUUCCAAGCAUGGCCAGUUAGAUUUUUUUGUAGAAUUUUGGAAGUGCAUGAAAAAGUGGGAGGAUUCUGCAAAGGCAGUAGAGAUUUUCUUGAUAGGGAUAAAAAAAAAAAAAAUGCCACUUUAGAGAUGAGAACUUGGAGUUAAUAUUGCAUAGGAAUUAAGAGUGGAACCUACUUUCGUAGUUGUGUUGCUUAGACCCAAGUCAGCUUUGAUUGAACUAUAAUCAAAGGUGUUUUAUAGAUAUGACCAUCACAUAUUUUCCAAGCAUAAAAUACCUCUUCAUACUUUAUCUUCUUGUUUAAUUUUCUUAAUGAUGGUUGUGUGUAGUUUUAGAGAAAUUUGGCUGCUCUUUUGAGCAGAUUAGGUAACCAUGUUUUGAGGCCCUCUUAUUGUGUUAGUGUAUAAUGUUUGGCUGUUGUCAUAAGAACUUCUGGUCACUAUAUGAUCUUACAGCCCAUUGUUCAUCAGUCUAUUUAAAUAAGGCCUCUUCAUUAUGCUAACUUUUCCUGUCAUAGCAGUGAUAAUACUGUCAGCCAACAUGGGGACCUCUUCAUGGUAGGCUUCACCUGUUAGAAAUAAUAGUGGAAUCUUCAAAUCACAUUGAAUGUCUUAGGGUAAAAUGGAAGAAUACAUUGGACUGUGUAAUCCUAGAUACAUUAAGAUCAUUUCGAAAUUGAACCAAUCGUAUGACUGGCACCGGCAGAUGCCAGGACCCCUGGACUGGUGGUAUGUAAAAAGCACUAUCCGAAUCAUGGCCGAUGCCAGCGCCGCCUCGACUGGCUUCCGUGCCGGUGGCAUGUAAAAUGCACCAAUCCGACUGUGGCCGUUGCCAGCCUCGCCUGGCACCUGUGCGGGUGGCACGUAAAAGGCACCCACUACACUCACGGAGUGGUUGGCGUUAGGAAGGGCAUCCAGCUGUUGAAACAUUGCCAGAUAAGACUGGAGCCUGGUGCAGCCUUCUAGCUUCCCAGAUCCCUGGUCGAAUCGUCCAACCCAUGCUAGCAUGGAGAACGGACGUUAAACGAUGAUGAUGAUGAUCAUCAUUACACACCUGUUUUUUUUUUUUUUUCUGGUAGCAUGGGUUAAAUGGGCCUUGUGUAAUCUCAUGGCCUUUGGUCAUCUGAUGUACCGGGACUAUGUGUAUUUUAUCUUGAGAUUAGCACUAGUGGGACUGUAUGACAAUAUGGACUAGAUACAUUUUAUCAUGACAGUGAUACUGUAGAAAUUAUCUGCAGAAUUAUGCUUGCUUUGCUGUGGCCUGCAGAGACUGCUCUUCUGCUGGUUAAUUUUUUUGGGUUGUAGAGAGGAGACAGGUUUUUUUAUAGCUGGAUGCAUUUCCUUUCACCAACAUUUUUACAGCCUAGUAAGGAGGAAGGAGCCACUCCCUCGGUCAUAAAAGACCAUGGGCUUGCACCUAAAAAGUUACCCUCCAAGACACAAUUUCGGACAAGGUUGUUUAAGGAAGACCAUCAGUUGCCUAUGCUUACCAGCUUUCUCUCUGCAUGUCACCAAUGUUAUCCAAGGGAAGGGCAAAGGGCAAUACUGUUUGGCACCAGUAAUGUUACAGCUCAUGUCUCUGGCUGAGUGAACUGGAGCAAUGUGAAAUAAAGUGUCUUGUUCAAGAACACAAUACUCAGCCUGGUCCAGGAAUUGAACUCACUACCUCAUGAUUGUGAGCCCAAUGCUCUAACCACACAUAUACAUCAUGCUUCUUUUCAGUUAACCAUACAACCAUCUCUGUGUUUACUUUUUCACUCUGGAUAACUCUCUUUACUCUUUUACUUGUUUCAGUCAUUUGACUGCGGCCAUGCUGGAGCACCGCCUUUAGUCGAGCAAAUCGACCCGAGGGACUUAUUCUUUGUAAGCCCAGUACUUAUUCUAUUGGUCUCUUUUGCCGAACCGCUAAGUGACGGUGACGUAAACACACCAGCAUUGGUUGUCAAGCGAUGCUGGGGGGACAAACACAGACACACAAACAUACACACACACACACACAUAUAUAUAUACGACGGGCUUCUUUCAGUUUCCGCCUACCAAAUCCACUCACAAGGCUUUGGUCGACCCGAGGCUAUAAUAGAAGAUACUUGCCCAAGAUGCCAUGCAGUGGGACUGAACCCGGAACCAUGUGGUUGGUAAGCAAGCUACUUAGCACACAGCCACUCCUGCGCCUAAGUUAGGCAAAAUUAAAAAAAAAACCUUGUGGGUCAGUUAAGUUCUUAACAGUGACCCUCUUGGUUUAAGGUUGGGAAUGUUAUUCUUGGGAUUAGGAAUUAACUCUGGACUCAUAUUAUUUGCAAGUUAAUUGAUUUAUUUAGCAUUUCCUUCUCAUUGGUUUUUUUUCCUGUUGUGCUAGGAUUUUGAAAUAAUCCUGUUCUAAUCAUUGUUGUUUACGCUCCGAAUUAGCGCUCAUUUAGUAUACCUAUGAUCAAAGGCAUUAAAAGCCAUGAUUUCUCCAUCUUGAUUUCAGACACAGCGUAUCUAAAGUGGUGUUUGAGGAAAACUCGGCUGCUAUUUCUAGCAGAUCUGGUUUCUGCAUAGUGAUUUCCUAAUUGGCUAACAUUUUCACAAGUAAAUUGUUGCAUCAUUAGCAAUUAAUUAUGCCAGUCUCUUGUGAUAUUAUAAUGUUGUAAUAGAAGAAACAUUGGGAGAAUUUUUGUUACUAUCUUCAGAACUGUCAUGUUGGCUACCAUUUAUUUCUAUAUUUAUCUUGCUACAUAGGUGCAGGUGCAGCUGUGCAGUUCAGCAGUUUGCUGCUCAAUCGCAUGGUUUUUGGGUUCAGUCUUGGUGCAUGGAGCCCUGGGCAAGUGUUUUGUACUAUAGCCGUGGGCCAACCAAAGCCUUUUGAAUGGAUUCGGAAGAUGGAAACUUUAAGAAGCUUGUUGUGUGUGUGUGUAUGUUGUGUCUCCUUGUCUUCAAAUCACAAAUAUCGUACAGGCAAUGCCAUUCAUUACCAAUAUUCUGCAAGGACAUGGCUGGCCAUGAGGAAAUAUUACCUUACUUGGAAACAGGUGAGGAUUGGUGCUGAGAAGGGCAUUCAGCUAUAGAAAAUCUGCCUUAAUAGACUUCAUUUAACCCAUGCAAGCAUGGAAGAGUGGAUGUUAAAACAAUGGUGUUUGUAUUCACUCAAAUUCUGUCCACAUAUAUAUAUUUGUUGCCCUAUUUAAGGAUCCAGUUUUUUUUUUUUUUGAGAUCUAUCUCAAAUAAUUCAAACUAUACUACCAUAAAAAAAUUGAAAGUAUUAUUUAUCAUUGGCAAAAUACUUAUAAAGCAUUCAUUGGACAAAAACUUGAUGCAUUUAUUUUUUAGUUCAAAUUGUGCAUUGGAUGAAAUUUGCAUUAUUUAGUUAUGACUCUUGCAUUUCUUUCACUCUUCAAGAAAAAAUAAAUACUAAUCAAAUACUUGGUUGAUAUGAUCAUAUAUUCUCUGCCCCUAAAUGUGUGGCUGUGUUUAUGUAAGAAAUCAUAAUUAUAAUGCUUUUAUGGAGUUUAUGAAAACUUUUUAAACACUUACACCUUAACAUAUCUAUUUAUCCUACCACAUUGUAUCUACACAACUACACAGUCUGUCCACUUAGGUUUCUAGAUAAUAUACUUGUGUAAAUGCAUAUGUGUUUGGUAAUCAUUAUUUCAAGUGUAAAUCUCAUCUUAAUUGAUAAGAGCUGAGAAUGGGUACUAUGUAUAUAUCUGUGGGUAAAAAUAUGCCACUAUCUGUUUGUAAAAGGUAACAAAGUUGAGAGGAAGAUCUUGCGUUUGAUAAGGUACUGGGUAACCAUGUAUUCUCAAAUAUUGGCAUAUGGUUGUUGUUGUUGUUGUCACAAUGUACUUAUCAUGCUGAAUCUAUGACUCUAGCAUAAGUAUAAACAUACAAAGUUUAGCCUAUUUUUAUACAUAAUACAAUAUAAUUGUUGCUUCUGAAUGGUGUAUUAUUAGAUUUGAAAACAAGCUAUGAGCUGAUUAUAUAAUGUUAUUGCAAGGGCACAAUGAUUAAGAAGAGCAUUUACCAUCUUUGAUAGGUGAGUGUUACUCCUGUUAGCAUGUCCAAAAUAUUCUCUCUGCAUUCAAAACAUUUUGCUCUUAUACAGAACCUAAAAAUCCCGCUUCCUAUCUUAUAUUUUCUUGAAGCAGUGAAAACAAAGACAGCGGAUUUGCAGUACCAUUAGAGUCACAGAAUGCUUUGUGGUAUUUGUUUAACCCUUUAGUGUUUAAACUGGCCAAAUCCGGCCCAAUAUAUUCUACAUGUUUUAUAUUCAAACUGGCGAUAUCUAGCCUCUCACACUUAACCUACAAUGCCAUUCUAAAAAUAAACAAUCAUGUCACUGAAACCUCAAAGCCGUAAGAUAAUCCAGGAUUAAUCCAAAACAAUUUGAGUGAAAAAGUAUUACAUUUAACAGAGUAAUCUGAACACUAAAGGGUUAAGCUCUGCUCUCAAGUCUAAAACUCUGUUCUUAACCCAUUCAAAAUCUGUAAUAACCCUUUAGCGUUCAGAUUAUUCUAACAAACAUAAUACUUAUUGUUUCACAUUGAUUUGAAUUAAUCAUGCAUUAUCUCAUAUCUUCAAGAUCUUGAUGGUGUAAUUACCUAAUGUAGAAUAACAUUGUAGGGUAGGUGCGAGAGCCUGGAUCUGGUCAGUUUGAACAUAAAACAGAUUAAAUAUUUUGGCUGGAUAUGGCUGGUUUAAAUACUAAAGGGAUAAAGUACCAAUGGAGGAUUGGUAAAAUUGUUGGAACAUCAGGUGUGAUGCUUUGUGAUACAUCUGUUAUGGUGGCAUUUUGAGUUUAAAUUCUGUCUUGUGUCUAUCACCAACCAUCUUAUAGUGGAAAGCAGAGUUUUUGAGGCCUGGCUGAUAGUGAUAAGACUCUAAUGUUACAUGGACACAUCAAUGUGCAUGAAUGCAAAAUUCAGACUCUUUACUAGGAGCAUGAUAAACAAUCCAAUUCUUGUGAGCAAAAAAGCCAUCAGAUGGAAUUUGGUCUGAUGAGUUUUGCUUUCUCUUCCUUUCUAUCACUGAUCUUUGAGAAUUUGUAGAUGUCAUGGAUGCUGCUGUUCCUCUUCUGACUCAACAGACUGAACAUUUAAUAAUGAAAGCCAGAUUACAUUCUCAUUUCAAGAGGAGCCUCUUUCUCCAUGACAUUUGAAAAUUCUUAUUGAAAUAUUUACUUUGAACUUUGGUUCAAGGCCACAAAUUUGUAAGAGAGGGACAUCGUUGAUUUGAAUGAAAUUUGUAAGGGAGGGACAUCGUUGAUUUGAAUCAGGGGUCUGUAAUGUACUAGUCUAGGAUGGUGAUAGUGGGCCUACAAAGAUUAAAACUCUCGAAUAGUUUCAGGGUGACAGCUGCUGUAAAAACAUGAGCAGAAAAGGAAUUCCAGAGGGUGGACACUCUUGGGAUUUAAGUGGUUGGAAUUAGCAUAGAACUAGGGAAGGGAUACACAAUAAUGAGUAAUGAGAGAAGAAACAUUUGAGUGAAGAAUGCUUGGAUGGAGGUACCAAGAAACCAGUGGCUCCAAGAAGCAGCAGCCACUGUUGUAGUGGUGGGAGAGAAAGUGAGACAGAACAGUAUGUCUGGGUCAAAGGUUGAAGUGUGUUGAUGUGCCAUUCAGUGAUGGUGGUGAGGCAGUCUUGGAUGUGGCCUAAGAUCUGUAUUUGAUGUUGUAAAAAUUGUAAGGAAUUUAUUCUAGUAGUUAAAUGUAGGCAGCCAUACAGAGUGCAAUGAACUGAAAAUUUUUUUGUCUGUUGAAAUUAUACCUAUGAUGAGAAAUAAAUUCAUGAACAUUGAUGACCACGACUCGCAAAUGGAGCAAGGGAAACAAGUCCCAAAAUUUCAAUUGAUCAAAAAUUAGAGAUGGGUAGGGAUGAGGGUGUAUCUUAUUUUUGUAACUUGUAGACAUGUUUCAGCCUUAUUAGAUCUCCUCAGUGAAGUGUUGUCAACAUACUGCUACCAAGAUUUUUGAGUGACUAAUAAUGUUUGUGCAUAUAUAUAUAUAUCAUAAUUUUGUGUACACUUACCAUGUUAUCAUGGGUUGGAGGUUUUGAUAAGCAAUAGUCAUGAUUUGAAUUUCUUUGCUCAUGGGCCCUAACCACAACAUUAACUGUUGUUUAUGCUGCUCAACUGGCCUUUCAUUCACUUGUGCUCCAUCAUUCAUAGAAGUUAAUAAUCAUAUGCGGCGCUAGCAACGGCUGGCGCCGCCCCGACUGGCCUCGUGCCAGUGGCAUGUAAAAAGCACCAUCCGAUUGUGGCUGUUGCCAGCCUCGCCUGGCCCCCGUGCCGGUGGCACGUAAAUGGCACCAUCCGAUCGUGGCUGUUUGCCAGCCUCGUCUGGCACCUAUGCCGGUGGCACGUAAAAAGCACCCACUACACUCACAGAGUGGUUGGCGUUAGGAAGGGCAUCCAGCCGUAGAAACAUUGCCAGAUCAGACUGGGCCUGGUGCAGCUGUCUGGCUUCCCAGACCCCAGUUGAACCGUCCAACCCAUGCUAGCAUGGAAAGCGGAUGCUAAUCGAAGAUGGUGAUGAUGAUGAUGAACUUUACUCAGCAUCUAUGGCCAAGACAGCUAAUUAUUCAAAUUUCGAUGAAUUAGUCCAGCAAGUUGAAUGUAUUUGGCACAGACAUGAUCUGGGUUAAAAUGUCAAGUUGACCAGUUCCUUCAUCAUUAUCAUUUUAAUAUUCUCUUUUCCAGUCUUGCACAGGUUACAUGAAAUUUGUUAAAGCAGAUCUUCUAUGGCUGGAUGUUCUUCUUGUCACCAAACCUUCAUCUAAUUCCAAGCAAGACAUUUCUCCUAGUCCUAACAUCAGCAGCACAAUGGCUGGACAUGUUUUCAUGGAGCAUUGCAGGAUGUCAACACAAAACAACUCACACAUACACAUGAUGGGUCUUUUUCAGAUUUCAGCUACCAGAUCUUUUUACAAGGCUUUGGUCAUCUUGAUACUUGUAGUAGAAGACACUUGCUGAUAAUGCCAUGCAGCAGAACCAAACCCAUGUGGUUGUCAAAUGAACUUUGCAACCAUGCUGCUGUUCCUGAACUUAAGUUAGUGAAAGUUUCUAGCCUCUGCAGAUAUUCUACACUUAAUACUCUUUACUCUUUUACUUGUUUCAGUCAUUUGACUGCGGCCGUGCUGGAGCAGUGCCUUUAGUCGAGCAAAUCGACCCCGGGACUUAUUCUUUGUAAACCCAGUACUUAUUCUAUUGGUCUCUUUUUACCGAACCGCUAAGUGACAGUAACAUAAACACACCAGCAUCGGUUGUCAAGCAAUGCUAGGGGGACAAACACACACACGCAUAUAUAUAUAUAUAUAUAUAUAUAUAUACAUAUAUACGACAGGCUUCUUUCAGUUUCCGUCUACCAAAUCCACUCGCAAGACUUUGGUCGGCCCGAGGCUAUAGUAGAAGUCACUUACCCAAGGUGCCACACAGUGGGACUGAACCCGGAACCAUGUGGUUGGUAAUCAAGCUACUUACCACACAGCCACUCCCGUGCCUUUCUGCUAUGAGCAUACUUCUUGCUCUAACUACAUAUAAUUUACAUUGAAGAAACCUUUUGUCGCCAGCAAAUUUAACAGCUCUCUGAACAUUAAUGCCUUUCUAAUUCCAAUUUCUCUACUCUCUGUAUAUCCAUUGUAAUUAUAUCACUCAGAUAACUGAAGCUACCUGCUACAUCUAGGUAAUCAUCUGAGCUGCCGAAGAUUUCAUUGUAUGGUGCUCCUGGUUCAUCUGGCCCCUUGUUUCUAUGAGCUUUAUUGCAUAUUAAGAUACUACAGUAUUAAGAUUGCAUAUUAAGAUCACUUCACUAUUGUGAAGGUGCAUGGUUUAGUGGUUAGGGGCAUUUGACUCACGAUCGUAAGGUCGUGAGUUCAAUUCCCAACGGCGCGUUGUGUCCUUGAGCAAGACACUUUAUUUCACGUUGCUCCAGUCCACUCAACUGGCAAAAAUGAGUAGUACCUGUAUUUCAAAGGGCCAGCCUUGUCACACACUGUGUCACGCUGAAUCUCUCAAAGAACUACGUUAAGGGUACACGUGUUUGUGGAGUGCUCAGCCACUUACACAUUAAUUUCAUGAGCAGGAGUGGCUGUGUGGUAAGUAGCUUGCUUACCAACCACAUGGUUCCGGGUUCAGUCCCACUGCAUGGCACCUUGGGCAAGUGUCUUCUACUAUAGCCUCGGGCUGACCAAAGCCUUGUGAGUGGAUUUGGUAGACAGAAACUGAAAGAAGCCUGUCGUAUAUAUGUGUGUGUGUGUUUGUGCGUCUGUGUUUGUCCCCACCAACAUCGCUUGACAACCGAUACGGGUGUGUUUACGUCCCCGUAAGUUAGCGGUUUGGCAAAAGAGACCGAUAGAAUAAGUACUGGGCUUACAAAGAAUAAGUCCUGUUGUGCUUGAUUUGCUCGACUAAAGGUGGUGCUCCAGCAUGGCCGCAGUCAAAUGAAUGAAACAAGUAAAAGAGUAAACUGUUUUGUUGAUCGUAUCAGCUAGGACCCUCGUCGUUGCAAUCGACGGAGUGCUCCUCUAAGAUCACUACACCUAUGGUGCUGGAAUUUUGAGCUCUAGGCACAGAUGUGGCUGUGUUUAAGAAGGUUGUUUCCCAAUGACAUGGUUGUGGGUUUACUCCUACUGUAUGAUACUUAGGGUUGGCCAAAGCCUUGUGAGAAACUUAAAAGGCUUCUUUCAGUUUCCGUCUACCAAAUCCAUUCACAAGGCUUUGGUCGGCCCGAGGCUAUAAUAGAAGACACUUGCCCAAGGUGCCACGCAGUGGGACUGAACCCGGAACCAUGUGGUUGGUAAGCAAGCUACUUACCACACAGCCACUCUUGCUCAUGAAAUUAAUGUGUAUAGGUGUGUGUCUGUUAUUGUUUCCUUGCUUUGAGAUUAUGUGCUAGUUGAAAAUGAAUGUAAUAGUCAUGCAAGCAGUGUCCCUCUUUCAUCUUCCAUGGAAACAUGUUAAAUCAUAGGGAAAUAUUAUCUUACUUGAAAACAGGUAAGCGUUGGCAAUAGGAAGGAUAUCUGGUUAUAGAAAAUCCAUUUCAACCAAAUCCUGUCCAACACAUGCAGGCAUGGUAAAGUGGUGUUAAUUAUUAUUUUGGUCUUAGUCUUUUCAGCUUUUUGAAUCUAGACCAUUCUUCUAGAUUUGGAACUCUUUUGUAGCUUGACAGGUUUUGACAAUAUCAACUAGGUUAUUGGUACAUGAAAGUUUUCAGGGGAAACUUUGUAGUUAAUACAUCAGACACUGAGAAAAGGAAGGUUGCACAUCCCAGUAUGAAUUAAAACUAGAAUUUGUUUUUGAAAGAGGGUCAAAAUUUACUCAACAAUCUUGUCUUCAUCUUCCAUCAUAUGCCCAUGUAGCCAAUGAUGAAGCUUAUUCUUUCCUUUAGUAAUGUCCAAAUACUUAUCCACCCCUCUUUUUAGCUGUCUAUGUUGAAUUUGUAUAUUCUUUUUAUUAACCCUUAUAUCAGAAAAAUCUAAUUUAACUGAUUGGAUUUGAACUUGGAGCUGAAAAUUCUUAAUACUUUCCAUGUUUCUUUUCCUGUAUUUUAUUGCUGAGUAACCCAAUAGACUUAUCCAAUUUCUUUCUAGACACUGCUAUUCAUCAUCCUUGUUGAAUUGGUAUUUGUUUUUUCUUUCCUCUAUUCUUGCAUGAUAGUACUACUGAAUACUCAAUCAUAUUAAACUAGAGCUGUUACCUAUUUUCAAGUUAGUGAAAUAAUUUUGUUAUGAUUUCCCCAAGGACACAGCACAAUGCCUUUGCUUCAGUUUCAAUUCCCUUUCAGUUACUAAUAUUUUAUAUUUUAUUAAGAUAUUUUUCUGUUUUAUAUGAGUAGCAAGUACUCAAGCAUUUCCCAGGUUCAUAAAUAACUUAAACAAAUUACACUGGCGCUUUACACAUACACACACAUGUAUAUACAUACACAGUUUGCUCUUCUAUCUUGAAACUGAUUUUCUUUAUGAUUAUAGCUAUUUAAUGUGUAAGAGUAUAUUCUAGAUGGAACUGUAUGUUUGAAAACAAUAUUGUGAAGACAAAGAUGAAGAAGCAAAGAAAAUUUUAGAUUUCACACUAAUUUUAAAUGUCUUUUAUUUCAUGAAAUAACACAGAAAGUGCACAGUAUUGGUAAUAGGCAAAUAAAACCUUGUAUCAUAAACUGUCUCCAAGACUAUAGUGAGAAAAUAAAAUGUAAACCAAGAUACAACUUGAGAUUAAAUGCAAAAUAAUUUCACUUGUUUGUAUAUUUUAUGUCUGUUUUUUUUUCCAUCUUCCAUGGUUUGGGUUUGAGUAUAUACAUAUUGUGGUAGAAUUUUACAGCUGGAUACUCUUCUUGUUGCCAACCCAAACCUGUUUUUCAAAUAAGGGAUCUUUUAUUCACCUGAUUUUCAAAAGUAGAGAGCAAUAAGACAUUGUUUACAGCAAGUGAAAACAUGACGUCGCUGUUUUGCUCAGACAGUAUCUUAUAAAAGUGUGAAAUACCAACAUAGACACAGAACAGAUUUCCAUAUAGUUUACAUCUACCAAUUUUACUUGCAAAGCAUUGGUCAGUCUGAGAACAUUUUGGAGACACUUUGAUGCCACACUAUUGGAUAGAACCUGAAACUGCAUGGUUUCAAAGUAAAUUCCAUGUCACACAGCCUGUUAGCUAUAAAAGAUGCUGUUUUUAAAGAUUACCUUUAGCAUUUAAACUGGCCAUGUCCAGCCCAAAUAUUCUACCUGUUUUAUCUUCUAACUGACAACAUCCAGUCUCUCACAUCUGUCCUGCAAUGUUAUUCUAAAAAUAAGCAAUCAUAACCUUACUGUGUCGGUGGCACGUAAAAAGCACCAUCCGAACGUGGCUGAUGCCAGCGCUGCCUUGACUGGCUUCCAUGCCGGUGGCACUUAAAGAGCACCAGCCAAUCGUGGCCAUUGCCAGCCUCCUCUAGCCCCUGUGCUGGAGGCACAUAAAAAGCACUCACUACACUCACAGAGUGGUUGGCAUUAGGAAGGGCAUCCGGCUGUAGAAACAUUGCCAGAUCAGACUGGAGCAGCCUUCUGGCUUCCCAGACCCUGGUCGAACCGUCCAACCCAUGCUAGCAUGGAAAACGGAUGUUAAACGAUGAUGAUGAUAAUGAACUUUGAAAUCUCAAAGCUACAUGAUAAUACAGGAUUAACUUUAAAGAAUGUGAAUAGAUAAACAUUAUAUUUGAUAGUAAUGUAAAUUCCAAAGGGUUAAAUGAUAUGGCAUUAUGAUUCUGCAAUAUUUCUAAAUCUGUCUGAGGAGUCAGCUUUAAAUCUAGGUCCAUAGUGAUGAUAGCUUAAGGUAAAUUUUGGUAUUAAUCCUUUUCAAGAUGCCUGGCGUCUUGCUGUAUUGAUAAAGGAUCAGGAUGUCUGGUACCUUGCUGUACUGACAAAAGAUAAGAUAACUGGUGCCCUGUGGUACUCAAAGAAGACCUGUACUCUGUUGCAGAAAUGUUAAGACUGUUCCCUUUCGUGGUGCCAUGUAAAAGCACCCUCAACAUGCUGUAAAGUGGUUGGCAUAGAAACCUUGCCAAAUCAGACUGGAGUCUGGUGUAGCUUCCUAGUCAGCUCUGGUCAAAUCGUUCAACCCAUGAUAGCAUGGACAACAGACGUUAAAUGAAGAUGAUAUCCACCCACCUUAGUUCUAUGAGAUGAACUUCUUGUUUUAGGAUGAUCUCAAUUUAAAACCUUUUAUCAAAAUUUCUUAUUAAUUUGUUCAGAACUUCAGCUUAACAUAAGUUACUUUUCUGAAUUCUUCAUUAUUUUCCAAAUUAAUUAAAACAAAGGCAGGGUAACUAAAAAAUACAUCACUAUAUUAUUCUAAUCACUACUUAUAAAUGAGUGGAGUGGUGGUGGGAAUACUAAUGUGAGGUUAAAGAAUAUUCACAUAUUACUGCCAUGUGAAGACCAAUAAACUGAGGAAUAUAAACACAAAGAAAGAAAAAAAAAGCAUACCAUAACAUUGGUCUCAAAUUAGCUUGAGUGUCAAUCAGCUUCAAAUAGAUUUUCGAGUAUCAAUAAGAUGAUUGUGGCUUUUAUGGACUCAGCCAGGGUAAUUAACCUGUAGAGCAACUUUGUGAAUGGUUAGCCAAUGCUGUAACAACACCGGUGUUACAGUGUAGUGCUUAAGCUAAUCCUUUGUUUUCACAGUUUCAUUUUCUGUGCUUAGUGUUUAGAAACCACAUCUCUUAUUGCUAAUGUAGUCAGUAAUUAUCGGUAAGCACUCCUUAUAGCUUCCCUAUUAAGGAGUUAAGAAAACCAUUGCUGUUUAAGUUGAUUAGUUUUCAUUUUGUUACGCUGGAUUGGAAAAACAAAGCAACAUAACAAACAAUAAGCAAUCAUAAUCUUUAUGCUUUGACUUGUCAUUCAUAAAAAAAACAACUUUUUUUUUAUCCUUUGCUUUCUGUGUGUAUUUCAUUUUCUAAUGAGUUACUCAUUAUCUGUUGGUCUGGAUGUAUCAAACAGAAAUACUUGGCUCCUAUUUCAACUUCCUUUUCACAUCAGGAAUGUCAGGAUUUGAAACGCAUUUGACUUGGCUGGGUGACCGUGUAGCGGAUAAAUAUACAGGGAAUUCAGUGUUGGGUGAUGUAGAAGGGUAUACCCCUUGCCUCUCAAUGUUCCAUAAGAAAUAUUAUUUUAUCAAUGUAGAAAUAUAUUUUCAGCUGGCUAGGUUAAUAACUGUUAAAUUUUUUUUUAUCAAUGUCUUCUGCACCUCUUUUACUUGUUUCAGUCAUUUGACUGUGGCCAUGCUGGAGCACUGCCUUUAGUCAAAGAAAUCGACCCCAAGACUUAUUCUCUGUAAGCCUAGUGCUUAUUCUAUUGGUCUCUUUUGCCGAACCGCUAAGUUACGGGGUCGUAAACACACCACCAUUGGUUGUCAAGCGAUGUUGGGGGGACAAACAUAUACACACACACAUGCACAUAUAUACAUAUAUAUGACGGGCUUCUUUCAGUUUCCGUCUGCCAAAUCUACUCACAAGUCUUUGGUCGGCCUGAGGCUAUAGUAGAAGACACUUGCCCAAGGUGCCACACAGUGGGACUGAACCUGGAACCAUGUGGUUCAUAAGCAAUAACCCAGGUUGCUAUUUUGUUUUAUUCAUUCUAGUGAUUAGAUAAGUCUCAACUUUUAUUGUUAAUUUGCAUUUAAACACCAAAUUUAAAAGCAUGGAUGUUAGGAAAAUGUUUGACCAUUUUUACUUCAUAUAAAUAUGCUAACACUAAUUGUUAUUAUCCUCCACUACCUACCUCCACUUAAAAAAUAUUUUUGCAGUUAUCUGAUUUGUAUAUUUUAUUUUGAAUCUUAAGAGUUUGAGUAAAUAUAUCCCUUAGUCAUUUGCGACUUUAUAUUCAGUUUAUUAAAUAGACCAGUUAAUUGCUAGCUAUUUAAAAUUUAGAAGCAAUUGACCAAACUGUCAUGUUUUCUACAACAAAAUAUUAUAUAUUUUAUGUAAUUUUUUGCCUUUUAAUUCAUUGAUAAACGAGUUUACAGCUAUGACAGUAACUAUUGUGAGCAUUGGGUAAAUUGUAGACACACACAUAUUUAAGUCACUAAUAAAUAUUACUCACUAUUAAAGUGUCUUAUUGUGACUUUUUCUUACUGAUGACAGAUAUAUAGUUUAAAUCUUUGUUAAAUACAUUAACCUUGAUAAGCUCUCUACUAUGAAAUGAAGUAGGACUGAAAUUUUUUUUUGUUUUUUUCCUUUCUAAAAGACUAAAACAAAUAAAAUUGUCUUGCUCUACUGUGCAAUUGUGGCCUCUACUUCUUACAGCUUGUUGGUUUUGUACCACUACCAGCUUAUUUGCAUCACUUGUGUCUCACCUCAAGACCCUGCAUUAACUAUAGCCAAUCCUUCUUCAUCAGAAUAUUGUCCCUCUAGAAUUCCAUCCGUGUUUCCUCUUCAUCUGUUCAAGAGGAACACCAAUCUACAUCAUUGAUUUCAGCAGUCCUGCAAUGGUUUAGUCUGAGCACAGCCCAGAUUAAACCAGUGUGGAAAAAAAAGGUGGUGAGCUGGCAGAAAUGUUAGCACGCCGGGCGAAAUGCUUAGCAGUAUUUUGUCUGCCGCUACAUUCUGAGUUCAAAUUCCGCCGAGGUCAGCUUUGCCUUUCAUCCUUUCGGGGUCAAUUAAAUAAGUACCAGUUACGCACUGGGGUCGAUAUAAUCGACUUAAUCCGUUUAUCUGUCCUUGUUUGUCCCCUCUGUGUGUAGCCCCUUGUGGGCAGUAAAGAAAUAAGAAACAAAGAGGUUAAUAUACUUCUUAAAAGGUUUAAUUUGCUGAUAGCAAAGUUUCUGCAAAGGAUAUUUCAUUGUGGUGGUCAUUGUAAUGUCCUGAUUAACACAUUAACCCUUUAGCAUUCAGAUUAUUCUGUCAAAUGCAAUGCUUAUUUAUUCACGUUGCUUUGAAUUAAGCAUUGUUUCGUAGCUUUGAGAUGUUGAUGAUGUGAUAGUUUAUUUUUAGGAUGACAUUCUAAGGUAGUUGUGAGAGGUCAAAUUUGGCUUGUUUGAACAUAGAGUAGGAAGAAUAUUUGAGCCAGAUGUGGCUGGUUUCACCUUUUAACAUUUAAAUUUCUCCACCAAAUGUAAUGGUUAUUUAUUCACAUUGUUUUAAAUUUAUCAUGAAUUUUCGUGUAGCCUUGAGAUUUCGAUAAUGUGAUUGUUUAUUUUUAGACUAACAUUAUAGGGUAGGUGUGAGAGGCUGGAUCUGGCCUGUUUUUACAUAAGGGUUAAACUGCAUCCACUGGUUAGGCUCCAAACUUUGGAGUUCAUGAGUUUUGGAGAGUGGAGUUAACUCUUAGCAUCUACUACUUUCAGGUCUGCUCCAGCUUGGUUAAUAGUCCCUGCCAAGGACCACAAUUCUGACAAAAUUCACAGAGGCAGAUUUCUCCUACACUCAUUGUAAUAUUUCUUUGUAACUGGACAUGUUUUUAUGGAAGAUUAGAAAUGAAUGACAAGGCAACACACACACUUUUAAGCCUUUUCCAGUUUCCAUCAACUAAAUCUGAUUAUAAGGCUUUGGUUGGUUUGGGACUAUAGUAGAAGAUAGCUAUGACUCAAAGUACCAUGCAGUUUUGAAGCGAAUGUCUUAACCACAUAGCCAUGCCACGUAAUUAUUUAUUGGGUCGAAUUCAUGCUUGAAUUUUAAACUUUUUUAAGUCCAGUUCUUUAUAAUACUUAUUUUCAUCUAUUGAUUUCAGGAAUUUUGUACAAUGCUACAAAUUUUUGUGGAAGGGCUAGAGGAGAUCAACUUGACUUCUGUGGUUCAUUCUUUAUUUCUUUUUUGUGUUGUAAUGUACAGUGGCCCGUCCGCUAGCAUAUCUUUAUCUCUUCUUUUACUUGUUUCAGUCAUUGGACAGCAGCCAUGCUGAGGCACUACCUUGAAGGGUUUAGUCAAACAGAUUGAACCAAUACUUAUUUUUUUUUAAAGUCUGGUACUUAUUUUAUCCAUCUCUUUUGUCAAACUGUUAAGUUACGGACACAUAAACGAGCCAAACGCAGGUUGUAAAGUGGCAGUGGGAGUGAGGCAUUCACACACUCACACACACAAACACACACGUGACAGGCUUGCACACGCUUUCCAUUUGCCAAAUUCCCUCACAAGGCAUCAGUUGGCUCAGGGCUAGAAUUAGAAGACACUACUCCAAAGUGCCACGUGGUGAAACUGAACCUGGAACCACAUAGUUGCAUAGUGAUUUUCUUAACCACUUGGUUAUACUUUUAUCCAUUUUUUUUCAUGUAGAGAAGUUUCCUACAUCCUACCCUUAAAGCUGUUCUCAAUUUCUGAGAAAAAGAACGUUGUAAAUAGUCAUGAAAGCUACCACAAGGUGUUUUGUCUAAUGCUCAAAUGAUUCUUCCAGUUUGUAAGCUUUUCAAUGCAUUACUGCUGCUUGUAUUUUAUUAAUCGUUCACCCUCCUGAAAGGUACAGUUGACCUUAAUGGAAUUUGCACUAAGAACAUGGAUGGAUGGGUGGGACUGGGGAUGAAAACUAGCAACAUCCUCUCCCCCAUUUAUUUUUGUUUCUGUUUUUCUCCCACUGUAAUUAUAUUAAGAAGUGAAUCUGUUUUUGAUAGAUGUAAGUCGGUCUUAACUGUCACUGCUAUUUAUUACUAAUGAUAAGGUUACUAAACUAAAUUCAUUCAUAUGAAAGCUGUGAAUGUCUUUUAUUGCUGCCGGUUUCUUUAGAGGAUAAUUUGUGCUUUUGUAUUAAUUAGUCUAGCUGAUAUACAUACAUACAUACAUAUAUAUAUAUAUAUAUAUAUAUAUAUAUAUAUAUAUAUAUAUAUAUACACACAUACACACACCCACAUAUGUACAUUUAUAUGUAUGUAUAUAUAUAUAUAUAUAUAUAUAUAUAUAUAUAUUUAUAUGUAUGUGUAUAUAUAUAUUUAUAUGUAUGUAUAUAUAUAUCUAUAUGUAUGUAUAUAUAUAUUUAUAUGUAUAUAUAUAUAUAUAUAUGUAUUUAUAUGUAUGUAUAUAUAUAUAUUAUAUAUGUAUAUAUAUAUAUUUAUAUGUAUGUAUAUAUAUAUAUUUAUAUGUAUGUAUAUAUAUAUUUAUAUGUAUAUAUAUAUAUAUAUUUAUAUGUAUGUAUAUAUAUAUAUAUAUUUAUAUGUAUGUAUAUAUAUAUAUUUAUAUGUAUGUAUAUAUAUAUAUAUAUAUAUUUAUAUGUAUGUAUAUAUAUAUAUUUAUGUGUAUGUAUGUAUAUAUAUAUAUUUAUAUGUAUGUAUGUAUAUAUAUAUAUUUAUAUGUAUGUAUGUAUAUAUAUAUAUUUAUAUGUAUGUAUGUAUAUAUAUAUAUUUAUAUGUAUGUAUAUAUAUAUAUAUAUAUAUAUAUAUAUAUAUAUAUAUAUAUAUGAUUUAUUUAUAAGGAUCUCUUUUCUCUUUUCUUAUCAUUUCAGUAGUCUGCAAUCUUGGAAGAAGAGCUGAGUGCCUUUUUCUAAGUAGAGUUUUUAUGAAUGAAGAUGUUAAACUGAGAAGAAUUUUGUUUUUUACUAUAAAGCUAGCUGUAAUUUUUAUUUGUAGGUUUUAAACUAUACAGAG